Molecule: long non-coding RNA, 2110 nt
Organism: Octopus bimaculoides (California two-spot octopus)
Lineage: Eukaryota; Metazoa; Mollusca; Cephalopoda; Octopoda; Octopodidae
Source: RefSeq, a predicted model, not a curated record
AAUUUUUUUAAUAUGCUAGACCACUGGUUUUAAUUGAUUAAUAUCAAUUUCUACCCUCAUUAAUAAAUUUUAAAUAAAUAAUAUAUGUUCUCUAACCAGUUAAAUUAGCUGCAGAAAUUAAUUAACUGCAGAAUUAUUUCCGGACUUAGCGCGCCAGAUUUGAAGACAUUUGAUAGGAUACGCUGAAUGUAAUCGCAGAACUCUACACGUGUUCACUUACGGGUGGAUGGCUUGUGUCUAGUUCUGUGUAUUGCAUCUCAAAGAGACAAACUUACCCUGACGAUCCUGCAGAUAUUUACUUAUGUAAAUUUUAACAGGUGAAACCAUGAAUCACUAAGUGUAUUACUAACAAUUCAUACACAUCAAUAUGAAAAAUAAGAGGUAACUGUACAACAAAAGAAUAGACUUUUAACAGCACUUCCUCAGAUGACGUAAAGUCUGAAGAAGAAGAACUGCAACCUUCGUAUUCCAUUGUGAAGGUAUGAACCUAUGAAGUUCAUUCAUCAAACAAGAGGGAAGACGUCGAACAAUACCGACGCAAGACAGCAAAACACACGUGAUCCACACAAAGACAGCAGUUCAACAGCAAUCAACAAGACGAUUACCAAACGCUCUUUCUGACUACUACCGACCACUACUCUUUAUAAGAGUUCGGCUAGUCCAUUCUCCAAUCCGCCAGGGAUGUCAAUGACUCUCGCUACAAGGAGGCUAAUGCUGACGACAUAGAAAUAAGAAUCCGCAGUAUGGUGGACGCCAUAGCCACUCAUAAUGAAAAGGUGUAUAGGUAAAACGUCCCAGUGAAAACCUCAAUAAAAUGUAAACACCACAAGCCAGAUAUAAUGAUUUGGGAUACGGAAGGGAAACUGUGUACAGAUAUAUAAAUCAGCUGGCCAGUGGAUGUUAGCAUAAAGCUAAAAGGAGAAUACCUACAUUGAACUAUUGUGAAAUCUUCAGGUACUCUAGACAUAUUAUAAGUUCAGGUUUAUAACAAUAAUUAUUGGUGAACUGGGAUAAGUACCACACUGCCUAUAAACCAAUCUUGAGAAAUUUGGCCUCUCAAAACCAGAAAGGAGAAAACUGAUUCGAAGACUACAGAUCCAAGCCAUUACUGAAACUGAAGACUGUAAAUAUUUCCAGAAGUUUAUCAUUUAAGUAUAUAUGAGCAUGUCUAGAUGUGCAACUAUAUGCAUGAGAAUACAUACAUAAAACAAAACAUACAAAUUUGCAUACAUACAUAUAUGAAUACAUACUGUAACUGUAGAUCACGAAACUAUUGUAUUCUAAAUAAUAACUCUCUGGAAAAAGAAUUUUUAUACUUAGCCAAAAUCCUGAACCGCAACGGAGUAACAAAGAUGUGCCUCGGAAUGACGGCAGCUCAAUCAAGGAAAGAUACACACACGCACACACACCUGGCGUCAUUCAGAGACACAAACAAAAGAGAUGUGACAACCAUAUCCUAUAUGAUAUGGACAUUGAAAGCAGGAGAAUUAAGCAACCCCCAAAUAACAUGGGGUAUUAUUGCAAAAACCAGAAAAUACAGAGUGCAGGGUACCAAAUGUGAGCUCUGUAUUAUUAAACAGAUAAAUAUCAUCCAGUCAACAGGUGACAGCGUAAAUACACAAGCAAUAUUUUAUACUCAGAUAUUUCAAACAGGAAGCAUCACCCACUUCACCAAUCUCACCAAGAUAAUUUGUUUCUCUGAACGGGAACAUUGAAUAUAUAUACAACAUACGAACUUCACGCAUAGAAGAUGCAUGCCCCUAUGAGGAACUCCCUCAACAAAGAAACAUAUGAACAUUAUAUAUAUCCAGAAUAUAAUAUAAUGCAAACAAAUUCAUCAUCCAACACAGUUUUGUCGCAGAAGUUAAAACGAAGGGAGAUAAUCACUGAAAAGCUGUCGUUCAAGAGUAUGACCCCUUGAAAUCUUAUUGUCUCUGCGAGAGUUAUUCGUGAAUUCCUGAGAUUUUUCGUGUGCACAUCGAAAAUGAAGAUGAACACCAUUACUUCAUGCGAUCUGUUUGAACAAUUCUUAAGAUGUUAAGAUAUUUUUUUCUAGCAUGAAACUAAUGGUAUACACAAAUAAAGAAAUUUUAUCUAGCAAUGCGGUGCU